Molecule: ribosomal RNA, 497 nt
Filed under: uncultured bacterium
Lineage: Bacteria
Description: partial 16S ribosomal RNA
Rfam family: Bacterial small subunit ribosomal RNA
Source: RNAcentral
GAUGAACGCUGGCGGCGUGCCUAAUACAUGCGAGUCGAGCGAACGGACGAGAAGCUUGCUUCUCUGAUGUUAGCGGCGGACGGGUGAGUAACACGUGGAUAACCUACCUAUAAGACUGGGAUAACUUCGGGAAACCGUAGCUAAUACCGGAUAAUAUUUUGAACCGCAUGGUUCAAAAGUGAAAGACGGUCUUGCUGUCACUUAUAGAUGGAUCCGCGCUGCAUUAGCUAGUUGGUAAGGUAACGGCUUACCAAGGCAACGAUGCAUAGCCGACCUGAGAGGGCGAUCGGCCACACUGGAACUGAGACACGGUCCAGACUCCUACGGGAGGCAGCAGUAGGGAAUCUUCCGCAAUGGGCGAAAGCCUGACGGAGCAACGCCGCGUGAGUGAUGAAGGUCUUCGGAUCGUAAAACUCUGUUAUUAGGGAAGAACAUAUGUGUAAGUAACUGUGCACAUCUUGACGGUACCUAAUCAGAAAGCCACGGCUAACUACGUG